RNAcentral lists this ribosomal RNA (162 nucleotides) under uncultured bacterium. RNAcentral's name for it is "partial 16S rRNA". It matches the Rfam family "Bacterial small subunit ribosomal RNA", at positions 358 to 511 of the family's 1533-position model. The record is from RNAcentral.
GGAAUCUUCGGCAAUGGGGGCAACCCUGACCGAACAACGCCGCGUGAGUGAAGAAGGUUUUCGGAUCGUAAAGCUCUGUUGUAAGAGAAGAACGUGUGUGAGAGUGGAAAGUUCACACAGUGACGGUAACUUACCAGAAAGGGACGGCUAACUACGUGCCAG